UGAGGAAUAUUGGGCAAUGGACGAGAGUCUGACCCAGCCAUGCCGCGUGCAGGAUGACGGCCCUAUGGGUUGUAAACUGCUUUUAUACAGGAAUAAACCUAUCUACGUGUAGAUAGCUGAAUGUACUGUACGAAUAAGGAUCGGCUAACUCCGUGCCAGCAGCCGCGGUAAUACGGAGGAUCCAAGCGUUAUCCGGAUUCAUUGGGUUUAAAGGGUCCGUAGGCGGAUUUUUAAGUCAGUGGUGAAAGCCCACAGCUCAACUGUGGAAUUGCCAUUGAUACUGGAAGUCUUGAGUUUGGUUGAAGUUGGCGGAAUACGUCAUGUAGCGGUGAAAUGCAUAGAUAUGACGU
This 350-nucleotide ribosomal RNA is filed under the name uncultured bacterium. RNAcentral describes it as "bacterial SSU rRNA". It matches the Rfam family "Bacterial small subunit ribosomal RNA", at positions 355 to 702 of the family's 1533-position model. The record is from RNAcentral.